Molecule: ribosomal RNA, 3086 nt
Filed under: Salmonella enterica
Lineage: Bacteria; Pseudomonadati; Pseudomonadota; Gammaproteobacteria; Enterobacterales; Enterobacteriaceae
Description: bacterial LSU rRNA
Rfam family: Bacterial large subunit ribosomal RNA
Source: RNAcentral
UUAAGCGACUAAGCGUACACGGUGGAUGCCCUGGCAGUCAGAGGCGAUGAAGGGCGUGCUAAUCUGCGAUAAGCGCCGGUAAGGUGAUAUGAACCGUUAUAACCGGCGAUACCCGAAUGGGGAAACCCAGUGUGACUCGUCACACUAUCAUUAACUGAAUCCAUAGGUUAAUGAGGCGAACCGGGGGAACUGAAACAUCUAAGUACCCCGAGGAAAAGAAAUCAACCGAGAUUCCCCCAGUAGCGGCGAGCGAACGGGGAGGAGCCCAGAGCCUGAAUCAGCAUGUGUGUUAGUGGAAGCGUCUGGAAAGGCGCGCGAUACAGGGUGACAGCCCCGUACACAAAAGCGCAUGUGCUGUGAGCUCGAUGAGUAGGGCGGGACACGUGGUAUCCUGUCUGAAUAUGGGGGGACCAUCCUCCAAGGCUAAAUACUCCUGACUGACCGAUAGUGAACCAGUACCGUGAGGGAAAGGCGAAAAGAACCCCGGCGAGGGGAGUGAAAAAGAACCUGAAACCGUGUACGUACAAGCAGUGGGAGCCCCACCACUAAGCCAGUGGUGAACUCCACAUACGCAUCCUUUGCUGAGGAUGCGGUUAACGGAGCGAAAGCGACGUUCAACCGCAAAAGAAGCAGAGGGGGCUUAGUGGUGGGGUGACUGCGUACCUUUUGUAUAAUGGGUCAGCGACUUAUAUUCUGUAGCAAGGUUAACCGAAUAGGGGAGCCGGAGGGAAACCGAGUCUUAAUUGGGCGUUAAGUUGCAGGGUAUAGACCCGAAACCCGGUGAUCUAGCCAUGGGCAGGUUGAAGGUUGGGUAACACUAACUGGAGGACCGAACCGACUAAUGUUGAAAAAUUAGCGGAUGACCUGUGGCUGGGGGUGAAAGGCCAAUCAAACCGGGAGAUAGCUGGUUCUCCCCGAAAGCUAUUUAGGUAGCGCCUCGUGAAUUCAUCUCCGGGGGUAGAGCACUGUUUCGGCUAGGGGGCCAUCCCGGCUUACCAACCCGAUGCAAACUGCGAAUACCGGAGAAUGUUAUCACGGGAGACACACGGCGGGUGCUAACGUCCGUCGUGAAGAGGGAAACAACCCAGACCGCCAGCUAAGGUCCCAAAGUCAUGGUUAAGUGGGAAACGAUGUGGGAAGGCCCAGACAGCCAGGAUGUUGGCUUAGAAGCAGCCAUCAUUUAAAGAAAGCGUAAUAGCUCACUGGUCGAGUCGGCCUGCGCGGAAGAUGUAACGGGGCUAAACCAUGCACCGAAGCUGCGGCAGCGAACGUAUCACUUAAAGCGAUUCAGCGGGUUACGAUUGACGGAGCGAAGCGACGUCAAAGCGUAUACAAAGUCGAGUCGGUUUAAGGAUACGUUCGUUGGGUAGGGGAGCGUUCUGUAAGCCUGCGAAGGUGGCCUGUGAGGGUUGCUGGAGGUAUCAGAAGUGCGAAUGCUGACAUAAGUAACGAUAAAGCGGGUGAAAAGCCCGCUCGCCGGAAGACCAAGGGUUCCUGUCCAACGUUAAUCGGGGCAGGGUGAGUCGACCCCUAAGGCGAGGCCGAAAGGCGUAGUCGAUGGGAAACGGGUUAAUAUUCCCGUACUUGGUGUUACUGCGAAGGGGGGACGGAGAAGGCUAUGUUGGCCGGGCGACGGUUGUCCCGGUUUAAGCGUGUAGGUGUGUGUGCCAGGUAAAUCCGGUUCACUUUAACACUGAGGCGUGACGACGAGGCACUACGGUGCUGAAGCAACAAAUGCCCUGCUUCCAGGAAAAGCCUCUAAGCAUCAGGUAACAUCAAAUCGUACCCCAAACCGACACAGGUGGUCAGGUAGAGAAUACCAAGGCGCUUGAGAGAACUCGGGUGAAGGAACUAGGCAAAAUGGUGCCGUAACUUCGGGAGAAGGCACGCUGACACGUAGGUGAAGUGAUUUACUCACGGAGCUGAAGUCAGUCGAAGAUACCAGCUGGCUGCAACUGUUUAUUAAAAACACAGCACUGUGCAAACACGAAAGUGGACGUAUACGGUGUGACGCCUGCCCGGUGCCGGAAGGUUAAUUGAUGGGGUCAGCGCAAGCGAAGCUCCUGAUCGAAGCCCCGGUAAACGGCGGCCGUAACUAUAACGGUCCUAAGGUAGCGAAAUUCCUUGUCGGGUAAGUUCCGACCUGCACGAAUGGCGUAAUGAUGGCCAGGCUGUCUCCACCCGAGACUCAGUGAAAUUGAACUCGCUGUGAAGAUGCAGUGUACCCGCGGCAAGACGGAAAGACCCCGUGAACCUUUACUAUAGCUUGACACUGAACAUUGAGCCUUGAUGUGUAGGAUAGGUGGGAGGCUUUGAAGUGUGGACGCCAGUCUGCAUGGAGCCGACCUUGAAAUACCACCCUUUAAUGUUUGAUGUUCUAACGUGGACCCGUGAUCCGGGUUGCGGACAGUGUCUGGUGGGUAGUUUGACUGGGGCGGUCUCCUCCUAAAGAGUAACGGAGGAGCACGAAGGUUGGCUAAUCCUGGUCGGACAUCAGGAGGUUAGUGCAAUGGCAUAAGCCAGCUUGACUGCGAGCGUGACGGCGCGAGCAGGUGCGAAAGCAGGUCAUAGUGAUCCGGUGGUUCUGAAUGGAAGGGCCAUCGCUCAACGGAUAAAAGGUACUCCGGGGAUAACAGGCUGAUACCGCCCAAGAGUUCAUAUCGACGGCGGUGUUUGGCACCUCGAUGUCGGCUCAUCACAUCCUGGGGCUGAAGUAGGUCCCAAGGGUAUGGCUGUUCGCCAUUUAAAGUGGUACGCGAGCUGGGUUUAGAACGUCGUGAGACAGUUCGGUCCCUAUCUGCCGUGGGCGCUGGAGAACUGAGGGGGGCUGCUCCUAGUACGAGAGGACCGGAGUGGACGCAUCACUGGUGUUCGGGUUGUCAUGCCAAUGGCACUGCCCGGUAGCUAAAUGCGGAAGAGAUAAGUGCUGAAAGCAUCUAAGCACGAAACUUGCCCCGAGAUGAGUUCUCCCUGAGACUUAGAGUCUCCUGAAGGAACGUUGAAGACGACGACGUUGAUAGGCCGGGUGUGUAAGCGCAGCGAUGCGUUGAGCUAACCGGUACUAAUGAACCGUGAGGCUUAACCUU